This 330-nucleotide unclassified non-coding RNA is filed under the name uncultured Papulaspora. RNAcentral's name for it is "partial contains 5.8S ribosomal RNA, internal transcribed spacer 2, and large subunit ribosomal RNA". The stretch from base 1 to 105 matches the Rfam family "5.8S ribosomal RNA", at positions 50 to 154 of the family's 154-position model. Lineage: Eukaryota; Fungi; Ascomycota; Sordariomycetes; Sordariales. The record is from RNAcentral.
GAAAUGCGAUACGUAGUGUGAAUUGCAGAAUUCAGUGAACCAUCGAAUCUUUGAACGCACCUUGCGGCCGCCGGUAAUCCGGCGGCCAUGCCCGUCCGAGCGUCGUUUCGACCCUCGGGGCCCUCCCUCUCGCAGGGCAGCGGCCCCGGCCUUGGGCCAGCGCGUGCCGCUCUCGAGCGCCGCGCGGCCCGCAGAACAGCGGCGGCAGCACCGGCGACGUCCCCUGCGCAGUAGCAUACACUCGCAUUGGUCUCCCGGCGCGGCCCGCCUCGAACCCCCAAACUUCUUUAGGUCGACCUCGGAUCGGGUAGGGAUACCCGCUAAACUUAA